AUUGAACGCUGGCGGAAUGCUUUACACAUGCAAGUCGAACGGCAGCACGGACUUCGGUCUGGUGGCGAGUGGCGAACGGGUGAGUAAUACAUCGGAACGUGCCCAAUCGUGGGGGAUAACGUAGCGAAAGCUACGCUAAUACCGCAUACGAUCUAAGGAUGAAAGCGGGGGAUCGCAAGACCUCGCGCGAUCGGAGCGGCCGAUGGCAGAUUAGGUAGUUGGUAGGGUAAAGGCCUACCAAGCCGACGAUCUGUAGCUGGUCUGAGAGGAUGAUCAGCCACACUGGGACUGAGACACGGCCCAGACUCCUACGGGAGGCAGCAGUGGGGAAUUUUGGACAAUGGACGCAAGUCUGAUCCAGCCAUUCCGCGUGCAGGAUGAAGGCCCUCGGGUUGUAAACUGCUUUUGUACAGAACGAAAAGGCUCUGGUUAAUACCUAGGGCUCAUGACGGUACUGUAAGAAUAAGCACCGGCUAACUACGUGCCAGCCGCCGCAGUGA
RNAcentral lists this ribosomal RNA (500 nucleotides) under uncultured bacterium. RNAcentral describes it as "partial 16S ribosomal RNA". It matches the Rfam family "Bacterial small subunit ribosomal RNA", at positions 30 to 523 of the family's 1533-position model. The record is from RNAcentral.